UACAUGGGGUGCAAACGUUGCUCGGAAUCACUGGGCGUAAAGCGCACGUAGGCGGCUCGAAAAGUCGGAUGUGAAAGCCCUGGGCUCAACCUAGGAAGUGCAUUCGAAACUGCCGAGCUUGAGUACGGGAGAGGGUUGCGGAAUUCCCGGUGUAGAGGUGAAAUUCGUAGAUAUCGGGAGGAACACCAGUGGCGAAGGCGGCAGCCUGGACCGAUACUGACGCUGAGGUGCGAAAGCGUGGGGAGCAAACAGG
Molecule: ribosomal RNA, 253 nt
Filed under: uncultured bacterium
Lineage: Bacteria
Description: partial 16S ribosomal RNA
Rfam family: Bacterial small subunit ribosomal RNA
Source: RNAcentral